AUGUAUUCAGUGUUUUUAUCAUUUAUUCACUAUGUAUUCAGUGUUUUUAUCAUUUAUUCACCAUGUAUUCAGUGUUUUUAUCAUUUAUUCACCAUGUAUUCAGUGUUUUUAUCAUUUAUUCACCAUGUAUUCAGUGUUUUUAUCAUUUAUUCACCAUGUAUUCAGUGUUUUUAUCAUUUAUUCACCAUGUAUUCAGUGUUUUUAUCAUUUAUUCACCAUGUAUUCAGUGUUUUUAUCAUUUAUUCACCAUGUAUUCAGUGUUUUUAUCAUUUAUUCAUCAUGUAUUCAGUGUUUUUAUCAUUUAUUCAUCAUGUAUUCAGUGUUUUUAUCAUUUAUUCACCAUGUAUUCAGUGUUUUUAUCAUUUAUUCACCAUGUAUUCAGUGUUUUUAUCAUUUAUUCAUCAUGUAUUCAGUGUUUUUAUCAUUUAUUCACCAUGUAUUCAGUGUUUUUAUCAUUUAUUCAUCAUGUAUUCAGUGUUUUUAUCAUUUAUUCACCAUGUAUUCAGUGUUUUUAUCAUUUAUUCACCAUGUAUUCAGUGUUUUUAUCAUUUAUUCACCAUGUAUUCAGUGUUUUUAUCAUUUAUUCAUCAUGUAUUCAGUGUUUUUAUCAUUUAUUCACUAUGUAUUCAGUGUUUUUAUCAUUUAUUCACUAUGUAUUCAGUGUUUUUAUCAUUUAUUCACUAUGUAUUCAGUGUUUUUAUCAUUUAUUCACCAUGUAUUCAGUGUUUUUAUCAUUUAUUCACCAUGUAUUCAGUGUUUUUAUCAUUUAUUCACCAUGUAUUCAGUGUUUUUAUCAUUUAUUCAUCAUGUAUUCAGUGUUUUUAUCAUUUAUUCAUCAUGUAUUCAGUGUUUUUAUCAUUUAUUCACCAUGUAUUCAGUGUUUUUAUCAUUUAUUCACCAUGUAUUCAGUGUUUUUAUCAUUUAUUCACCAUGUAUUCAGUGUUUUUAAUCAUUUAUUCACUAUGUAUUCAGUGUUUUUAUCAUUUAUUCACCAUGUAUUCAGUGUUUUUAUCAUUUAUUCACCAUGUAUUCAGUGUUUUUAUCAUUUAUUCACCAUGUAUUCAGUGUUUUUAUCAUUUAUUCACCAUGUAUUCAGUGUUUUUAUCAUUUAUUCAUCAUGUAUUCAGUGUUUUUAUCAUUUAUUCACCAUGUAUUCAGUGUUUUUAUCAUUUAUUCAUCAUGUAUUCAGUGUUUUUAUCAUUUAUUCACCAUGUAUUCAGUGUUUUUAUCAUUUAUUCAUCAUGUAUUCAGUGUUUUUAUCAUUUAUUCAUCAUGUAUUCAGUGUUUUUAUCAUUUAUUCACCAUGUAUUCAGUGUUUUUAUCAUUUAUUCACCAUGUAUUCAUGUUUUUAUCAUUUAUUCAUCAUGUAUUCAGUGUUUUUAUCAUUUAUUCAUCAUGUAUUCAGUGUUUUUAUCAUUUAUUCACCAUGUAUUCAGUGUUUUUAUCAUUUAUUCAUCAUGUAUUCAGUGUUUUAUCAUUUAUUCAUCAUGUAUUCAGUGUUUUUAUCAUUUAUUCACCAUGUAUUCAGUGUUUUUAUCAUUUAUUCACCAUGUAUUCAGUGUUUUUAUCAUUUAUUCACCAUGUAUUCAGUGUUUUAUCAUUUAUUCACCAUGUAUUCAGUGUUUUUAUCAUUUAUUCACCAUGUAUUCAGUGUUUUUAUCAUUUAUUCACCAUGUAUUCAGUGUUUUUAUCAUUUAUUCAUCAUGUAUUCAGUGUUUUUAUCAUUUAUUCACCAUGUAUUCAGUGUUUUUAUCAUUUAUUCAUCAUGUAUUCAGUGUUUUUAUCAUUUAUUCACCAUGUAUUCAGUGUUUUUAUCAUUUAUUCACCAUGUAUUCAGUGUUUUUAUCAUUUAUUCACCAUGUAUUCAGUGUUUUUAUCAUUUAUUCACCAUGUAUUCAGUGU
Cottoperca gobio is the source of this 1902-nucleotide long non-coding RNA. NCBI's taxonomy places the organism in Eukaryota, Metazoa, Chordata, Actinopteri, Perciformes, Bovichtidae. The record is from Ensembl.